AUUGCACAAUGGAGGGAAACUCUGAUGCAGCGACGCCGCGUGAGUGAAGAAGUAUUUCGGUAUGUAAAGCUCUAUCAGCAGGGAAGAAAAUGACGGUACCUGACUAAGAAGCACCGGCUAAAUACGUGCC
Molecule: ribosomal RNA, 130 nt
Filed under: uncultured bacterium
Lineage: Bacteria
Description: partial 16S ribosomal RNA
Rfam family: Bacterial small subunit ribosomal RNA
Source: RNAcentral